CGGGGCGUAGCGCAGUUUGGCUAGCGCGCCUGCUUUGGGAGCAGGAGGUCCCGGGUUCAAAUCCCGGCGCCCCGACCA
Molecule: transfer RNA, 78 nt
Filed under: Bacillota bacterium
Lineage: Bacteria; Bacillati; Bacillota
Description: Firmicutes bacterium tRNA-Pro
Rfam family: tRNA
About the family: Transfer RNA (tRNA) molecules are approximately 80 nucleotides in length.
Source: RNAcentral